This 530-nucleotide ribosomal RNA is filed under the name uncultured beta proteobacterium. Its description in RNAcentral is "bacterial SSU rRNA". It matches the Rfam family "Bacterial small subunit ribosomal RNA", at positions 925 to 1454 of the family's 1533-position model. Lineage: Bacteria; Pseudomonadati; Pseudomonadota; Betaproteobacteria. The record is from RNAcentral.
ACAAGCGGUGGAUUAUGUGGAUUAUUUCGAUGCAACGCGAAAAACCUUACCUGGCCUUGACAUGUACCGAAUUUAGCAGAGAUGCUUUAGUGCUCGAAAGAGAACGGUAACACAGGUGCUGCAUGGCUGUCGUCAGCUCGUGUCGUGAGAUGUUGGGUUAAGUCCAGCAACGAGCGCAACCCUUGCCAUUAAUUGCCAUCAUUUAGUUGGGCACUUUAAUGGGACUGCCGGUGACAAACCGGAGGAAGGUGGGGAUGACGUCAAGUCCUCAUGGCCCUUAUGGCCAGGGCUUCACACGUAAUACUAUGGUCGGUACAGAGGGUUGCCAACCCGCGAGGGGGAGCCAAUCCCAGAAAGCCGAUCGUAGUCCGGAUUGUAGUCUGCAACUCGACUGCAUGAAGUCGGAAUCGCUAGUAAUCGCGGAUCAGCAUGUCGCGGUGAAUACGUUCCCGGGCCUUGUACACACCGCCCGUAACACCAUGGGAGUGGGUUUCACCAGAAAUAGUUAGUCUAACCGCAAGGAGGACGAU